Molecule: ribosomal RNA, 1498 nt
Filed under: uncultured bacterium
Lineage: Bacteria
Description: bacterial SSU rRNA
Rfam family: Bacterial small subunit ribosomal RNA
Source: RNAcentral
UAGUUCGAUUAUGGCUCAGGAUGAACGCUGGCGGCAUGCCUAAUACAUGCAAGUCGAACGGAGUGAAGCCUUCGGGUUUCAUUCAGUGGCGAACGGGUGAGUAAUACGCAGGGAACCUGGCCAUGGCAGGGGGAUACACUCUGGAAACGGAGCAUAAGACCCCAUAGGCAGUAAGGCGGCAUCGCCUUACUGUUAAAGAAAGCUGAAAGGCUUUGGCGAUGGAUGGACCUGCGGUGCAUUAGCUUGUUGGUGAGGCAACGGCUUACCAAGGCGAUGAUGCAUAGCCGGCCUGAGAGGGCGGACGGCCACACUGGGACUGAGACACGGCCCAGACUCCUGCGGGAGGCAGCAGUAGGGAAUUUUCGUCAAUGGGCGCAAGCCUGAACGAGCAAUGCCGCGUGAGUGAGGAAGGUCUUCGGACUGUAAAGCUCUGUUGCCGGGGAAAAAGGGGAAAUGCAGGAAAUGGCAUUUCAUGGAUGGUACCCGGCCAGAAAGCCACGGCUAACUACGUGCCAGCAGCCGCGGUAAUACGUAGGUGGCGAGCGUUAUCCGGAAUGAUUGGGCGUAAAGGGUGCGCAGGCGGUCUGUUAAGUCUGAAGGCAAAGGGAUGAGCUCAACUCAUUUAUGAUUCAGAAACUGGCAGACUUGAGGACAGGAGAGGGCGGUGGAACUCCAUGUGUAGCGGUAAAAUGCGCAGAGAUAUGGAAGAACACCAGUGGCGAAGGCGGCCGCCUGGCCUGUGACUGACGCUGAGGCACGAAAGCGUGGGGAGCAAAUAGGAUUAGAUACCCUAGUAGUCCACGCCGUAAACGAUGAGGAGCAGGUGUUGGGAGUGAAAUCUCAGUGCCGAAGCCAACGCAGUGACUCCUCCGCCUGGGGAGUAUGCACGCAAGUGUGAAACUCAAAGGAAUUGACGGGGGCCCGCACAAGCGGUGGAGUAUGUGGUUUAAUUCGAAGCAACGCGAAGAACCUUACCAGGUUUUGACAUCGGAUGCGAAGGUGCAGAGAUGCGCUGGAGGCUAUCAUCCAGACAGGUGGUGCAUGGUUGUCGUCAGCUCGUGUCGUGAGAUGUUCAGUUAAGUCUGGCAACGAGCGCAACCCCCGUGGUAUGUUACUAACGCUUAGGGCGAGGACUCAUAUCAGACUGCCGGUGACAAACCGGAGGAAGGCGGGGAUGACGUCAAAUCAUCAUGCCCCUUAUGACCUGGGCUACACACGUACUACAAUGGCGUCUACAGAGGGAAGCGACCCUGAGGAGGGAAGCGAAACCGGAAAAGGGCGUCCCAGUUCGGAUUGAAGUCUGCAACCCGACUUCAUGAAGAUGGAAUCGCUAGUAAUCGCGGAUCAGCAUGCCGCGGUGAAUACGUUCCCGGGCCUUGUACACACCGCCCGUCAAACCAUGGAAGCCGGCAACGCCCGAAGCCGGUGGCAUAACCUUUUAGGAGUGAGCCGUCGAAGGCGGGGCUGAUGACUGGGGUUAAGUCGUAACAAGGUACCC